UUGGAUAUAAGUCAUUCAUUGAACCUAGAAGUAGGGAUUUCUCUUUACUUAAUUAUUUGAAAUUAGACGUUAAGUAAUACAAUGCACUCUUUACUUGUUCUUCAAGCAUUAGUUUUCUCUUUACUUUCUUGCUUGUGUUUUUCUCUCGUGGAAGCUAUCAAGGGCUUCGUUACGCCAAUUUGUCCUUUGCCAUUGUUAAACAUGUAUGCCAUUUCAAAUUGCACAAUCAUUUUGAAGCUAAGGCCAACUUUGCCUCUAAUUUGCAGUCAGCAGAAAGAUCAUGGGUUCUGAAUUCUGGUAUGACUCAUCAUAUCACACCUGAACCUGACAAUCUUGAAGAGUAUACAGGCAAUGAGGAAAUAUCUAUGGGUGAUAGUAAAACCAUUUCUAUACUCAUACUGGUUCAACUCAGAUACAAGCAUUUAAUUCUUCUUUUAGGCUUUAUAACACCCUAUGUGCUCCACCAAUUAAAAAGAAUCUUAUUUCAAUAGCCAAGUUUUGUCAAGACAGUCUAACAUCUGUUGAAUUUUUUUUCAUUUACUUUUCCUGUGAAGACCUGCAUACUCAGACGUUGUUGGUGCAAGGACAGAAUAACAAAGGACUAUAUGAAUGGCCGCAUCAGCCAAUCGGACCACCAAUAUCCAUCAAUCUUUCCUCCACAAAAGUUACUUUUCAGCUAUGGCAUUGUGACUUGGGUAUCCUCAUUUGACAAUUUUAAAUUUUAUUUUGAAGAAGUUUUAUUUACCUGUUGCUACUAAAGAAAAACUUGAACUUUGUAAUGCUCGUUCCUCUAAUAAAUCACAUUGUUUU
Molecule: long non-coding RNA, 810 nt
Organism: Capsicum annuum
Lineage: Eukaryota; Viridiplantae; Streptophyta; Magnoliopsida; Solanales; Solanaceae
Exons: 2
Source: RefSeq, a predicted model, not a curated record